RNAcentral lists this ribosomal RNA (250 nucleotides) under Chrysomya megacephala (oriental latrine fly). RNAcentral's name for it is "partial 16S ribosomal RNA". The record is from RNAcentral. Lineage: Eukaryota; Metazoa; Arthropoda; Insecta; Diptera; Calliphoridae.
UCUUAUAAUUUAUAAUAGAAUUUUAUUUUUUAGUCAAAAAGCUAAAAUAUAUUUAAAAGACGAGAAGACCCUAUAAAUCUUUAUAUUUAGGUUAUUAUAAUUUUAUAGAUUUUUUUUGUUAUAAUAAUUGAUAAUAUUUUAUUGGGGUGAUAUUAAAAUUUGAUAAACUUUUAAUUGUUUAAAUCACUAAUUUAUGAAUAAUUGAUCCGUUAUUAGCGAUUAAAAAAAUAAGUUACCUUAGGGAUAACAG